UACGGAGGGUGCAAGCGUUGUCCGGAAUCACUGGGCGUAAAGGGCGCGUAGGCGGCUCGGUAAGUAGGAGGUGAAAUCCUGCGGCUUAACCGCAGGGCUGCCUUCUAAACUGUCGAGCUCGAGCACGGUAGAGGCAGAUGGAAUUCCCGGUGUAGCGGUGGAAUGCGUAGAGAUCGGGAAGAACAUCAGUGGCGAAGGCGGUCUGCUGGGCCGUAGCUGACGCUGAGGCGCGACAGCGUGGGGAGCAAACAGG
RNAcentral lists this ribosomal RNA (253 nucleotides) under uncultured bacterium. RNAcentral describes it as "partial 16S ribosomal RNA". It matches the Rfam family "Bacterial small subunit ribosomal RNA", at positions 524 to 776 of the family's 1533-position model. The record is from RNAcentral.